GGUUGGCGGGUCUGAGGCCCGGAAAUUACCGGACGGCGGCGUUUCGUGUUUUUGGGUGUGGAUUGCAACAAACUGCAGCCAACCCCCUGAUGAGGAGUUGUCGCCUUGGGGGAGGUUGCAGGAUGAAAUUUAUAUAUUGGUCAUAAAUCAAAUUGAUUUUCGUAUUUGGUUACGAGAGCAAAUCGAUGCGAUUGAACAGCAUCCAACUGACGAUGCGACAUUUGGAACUAUUAUGAAAGUGGGAAAAAAGUUGUGCAACUCUCGGCAAUGCGGAAGUUCUUUGGGCCAAGUGCAAUUAACCUAGAAUUCUUAUGCGUCAUUGGGCAGAUUUCUUUCUGCGAAAAC
Molecule: long non-coding RNA, 345 nt
Organism: Drosophila albomicans
Lineage: Eukaryota; Metazoa; Arthropoda; Insecta; Diptera; Drosophilidae
Exons: 2
Source: RefSeq, a predicted model, not a curated record